CUGAUUUUUUCUCAGUUGGCAGAGCAUUGGACUAGUAUUCCAAAGAUCGUAGGUUCGAUGCCCAGGACAGG
Non-coding RNA from Paramuricea clavata, 71 nucleotides. The record is from the annotation of a GenBank genome assembly. NCBI's taxonomy places the organism in Eukaryota, Metazoa, Cnidaria, Anthozoa, Malacalcyonacea, Plexauridae.